UACGGGGGGGGCAAGCGUUGUUCGGAAUUACUGGGCGUAAAGGGCUCGUAGGUGGCCAACUAAGUCAGACGUGAAAUCCCUCGGCUUAACCGGGGAACUGCGUCUGAUACUGGAUGGCUUGAGUUUGGGAGAGGGACGCGGAAUUCCAGGUGUAGCGGUGAAAUGCGUAGAUAUCUGGAGGAACACCGGUGGCGAAGGCGGCGUCCUGGACCAAUACUGACACUGAGGUGCGAAAGCGUGGGGAGCAAACAGG
Molecule: ribosomal RNA, 253 nt
Filed under: uncultured bacterium
Lineage: Bacteria
Description: partial 16S ribosomal RNA
Rfam family: Bacterial small subunit ribosomal RNA
Source: RNAcentral